UCAAUUUUUAAGCCGAAGAGCCGGCAUUGCUCAUAGACACUUCCAAGGUCAUGUAGCUGGCAUGACUACAUGGAGUGCCAUUAAUUUCCUGCCAGAACGGAACCUAUUGAUCUACUCACAUUUGCAUGUUUUCAAAUUGCUAGGCUGGCAGAAGCUGGGGAUAACAACGGGAGCUCAUGCUGGUCCCCGGAUUUGAACCUGCGAUUUUCAUUUAGCAAGUUCAGCAGCUCAGUGGUUUAACCCACUCUGCCACAGUAGGAUUUAUUCCCAGUGACUGAUGCUGGAUGAGAAACUCCCUCCUGGGCAACUAGAAGACUGGGCGAGUUGGACAGUGCUGAACAGACUGCGAUCUGGUACCAUGAGAUGCAGAACCAGUCUUAAGAAAUGGAGCUUCAAAGUGGAGUUCACACAUGUGAGUGUGGAGAAGAGCAAAUCACA
Molecule: non-coding RNA, 438 nt
Organism: Anolis sagrei ordinatus
Lineage: Eukaryota; Metazoa; Chordata; Lepidosauria; Squamata; Anolidae
Source: RefSeq, a predicted model, not a curated record